Molecule: microRNA precursor, 108 nt
Organism: Cricetulus griseus (Chinese hamster)
Lineage: Eukaryota; Metazoa; Chordata; Mammalia; Rodentia; Cricetidae
Source: Ensembl
GAACUAACUGGGCAAAGGCUCUCCUAAGGCAGGCAGACUUCAGUGUUGCCCGUUUCUCAGUUCUCUGAAGCUUGCUUACCUCCAAAGUGCCUUUGCCAUAGCCCUGUA